AUUGAUUCUUGAGAUCUGGGGAACUUGGAAAACUUAGCUGAGCUCCUGGGAGGUUGCAGCAGAAGCUGAAGCCAAACAGAGGAGCUGAGACGUGCUGUGGAAGGCUGGCCAAGCCGAGAGAAGAAGAGAUGAGUAUAAGCUCUGGAGGGGUGCAAAGGUGAAGCGCACUCACAAAGCCAGCUGCCACUUUGUGAGAUGGUCUUUGGAGAGGCCCAAGUAGCAACAAUCAAGAAGCAGAGACCCUCAGUCCCACAAUUCAAAAAGAAUUAAAUUAUGCAAACAACCACAAGAAUGAGCUUGGAAGCAGAUCCACCCAAGAAGGACCUGGAGAAGACUUGACUGUGGCCUCUGAGAGAUCCGAGCUAGAGACCUGCUAAGCCGCGCCCCCAUUCCUGACCCACAGAAACUGAGAUAAUAAAUGUGUGUUAAGUCUCUAAA
Macaca mulatta (Rhesus monkey) is the source of this 438-nucleotide long non-coding RNA. RefSeq lists it as uncharacterized. Lineage: Eukaryota; Metazoa; Chordata; Mammalia; Primates; Cercopithecidae. The record is from RefSeq and is a predicted model, not a curated record.